UUGUAGAGCUGCAAGGAGAAGCAGUAGGAGCCCCACUGGGGGCUGGGCCCCCCCAGCUCCCGGCUGGGGGGCUACAGGGACUUGGAACAGUGUUAAACUGGGCUAAGUAUCUGUAGCUGAGAGGCUGGGAGUUUUUUCUCCUCCACCGUGA
Long non-coding RNA from Corapipo altera (White-ruffed manakin), 151 nucleotides. RefSeq lists it as uncharacterized. The transcript has 3 exons. Lineage: Eukaryota; Metazoa; Chordata; Aves; Passeriformes; Pipridae. The record is from RefSeq and is a predicted model, not a curated record.